RNAcentral lists this ribosomal RNA (433 nucleotides) under uncultured bacterium. RNAcentral's name for it is "partial 16S ribosomal RNA". It matches the Rfam family "Bacterial small subunit ribosomal RNA", at positions 29 to 507 of the family's 1533-position model. The record is from RNAcentral.
AACGAACGCUGGCGGCAUGCCUAACACAUGCAAGUCGAACGAGACCUUCGGGUCUAGUGGCGCACGGGUGCGUAACGCGUGGGAACCUGCCCUUAGGUUCGGAAUAACUCCCCGAAAGGGGUGCUAAUACCGGAUAAUGUCUUCGGACCAAAGAUUUAUCGCCUGUGGAUGGGCCCGCGUUGGAUUAGCUAGUUGGUAGGGUAAAAGCCUACCAAGGCGACGAUCCAUAGCUGGUCUGAGAGGAUGAUCAGCCACACUGGGACUGAGACACGGCCCAGACUCCUAGGAGAGGCAGCAGUUGGGAAUAUUGGAGAAUGGGCGAGAGCCUGAUCCAGCGAGGCCGCGUGAGUGAUGAAGGCCUUAGGGUUGUAAAGCUCCAUUACCCGGGAUGAUAAUGACAGUACCGGGAGAAUAAGCUCCGGCUAACUCCGUG